Molecule: long non-coding RNA, 253 nt
Filed under: Carica papaya (papaya)
Lineage: Eukaryota; Viridiplantae; Streptophyta; Magnoliopsida; Brassicales; Caricaceae
Description: long non-coding RNA (CPAP_LNC009595)
Source: RNAcentral
CAUGGGAAAAAGGACAAGAUUAAGGAGUCCUUCUCAAAUUCCAUCUUUUUCACACGUGCAACUUGGAAGCUUCUUUUCCCUAGAUCUUUUGUGCGUUAGGAGUCUUCUUCAAGUUUUCCUUCUAUAUGUUGUAGGUUUGGAGUCUUUAAAGGACUCCUUCUUGGAUUUGUCUUGUUGUUUACAUGCUUCACCCAUGCGAAAGGAAGCUUCCCUCCCAUGCGUGUGGUUAUCGUGUGUGCAGCAUGGUGCUUUA